AUCGCUUCUCGGCCUUUUGGCUACGAUCAAGUGUACUAUUUGUUUUUAUCAGUUUAAUAUCUUAUACGUCUCCCAGCUGAAGUCCAUAUAUUAAAUUGCUCAAGCUGUACAAUGUUAAAACUCUGUCAUUGUUCGCUAGCUGUAUCUGGGCUUCUUAUAGCUAAAGCUUG
RNAcentral lists this small nuclear RNA (170 nucleotides) under Betta splendens (Siamese fighting fish). RNAcentral's name for it is "U2 spliceosomal RNA (ENSBSLG00000023086.1)". It matches the Rfam family "U2 spliceosomal RNA". Rfam says of the family: U2 is a small nuclear RNA (snRNA) component of the spliceosome (involved in pre-mRNA splicing). Complementary binding between U2 snRNA (in an area lying towards the 5' end but 3' to hairpin I) and the branchpoint sequence (BPS) of the intron results the bulging out of an unpaired adenosine, on the BPS, which initiates a nucleophilic attack at the intronic 5' splice site, thus starting the first of two transesterification reactions that mediate splicing. The record is from Rfam by way of RNAcentral. Lineage: Eukaryota; Metazoa; Chordata; Actinopteri; Anabantiformes; Osphronemidae.